GAUGAACGCUGGCGGCGUGCCUAAUACAUGCAAGUCGAGCGAACGGACGAGAAGCUUGCUUCUCUGAUGUUAGCGGCGGACGGGUGAGUAACACGUGGAUAACCUACCUAUAAGACUGGGAUAACUUCGGGAAACCGGAGCUAAUACCGGAUAAUAUUUUGAACCGCAUGGUUCAAAAGUGAAAGACGGUCUUGCUGUCACUUAUAGAUGGUUCCGCGCUGCAUUAGCUAGUUGGUAAGGUAACGGCUUACCAAGGCAACGAUGCAUAGCCGACCUGAGAGGGUGAUCGGCCACACUGGAACUGAAACACGGUCCAGACUCCUACGGGAGGCAGCAGUAGGGAAUCUUCCGCAAGGGGCGAGAGCCUGACGGAGCAACGCCGCGUGAGUGAUGAAGGUCUUCGGAUCGUAAAACUCUGUUAUUAGGGAAGAACAUAUGUGUAAGUAACUGUGCACAUCUUGACGGUACCUAAUCAGAAAGCCACGGCUAACUACGUG
RNAcentral lists this ribosomal RNA (497 nucleotides) under uncultured bacterium. Its description in RNAcentral is "partial 16S ribosomal RNA". It matches the Rfam family "Bacterial small subunit ribosomal RNA", at positions 28 to 507 of the family's 1533-position model. The record is from RNAcentral.